UGGGGAAUAUUGCACAAUGGGGGAAACCCUGAUGCAGCGACGCCGCGUGAGCGAAGAAGUAUCUCGGUAUGUAAAGCUCUAUCAGCAGGGAAGAAAAUGACGGUACCUGACUAAGAAGCCCCGGCUAACUACGUGCCAGCAGCCGCGGUAAUACGUAGGGGGCAAGCGUUAUCCGGAUUUACUGGGUGUAAAGGGAGCGCAGGCGGCGCGGUAAGUCUGAUGUGAAAGCCCGGGGCUCAACCCCGGGACUGCAUUGGAAACUGUCGUGCUGGAGUGUCGGAGGGGCAAGUGGAAUUCCUAGUGUAGCGGUGAAAUGCGUAGAUAUUAGGAGGAACACCAGUGGCGAAGGCGGCUUGCUGGACGACAACUGACGCUGAGGCUCGAAAGCGUGGGGAGCAAACAGG
Molecule: ribosomal RNA, 404 nt
Filed under: uncultured bacterium
Lineage: Bacteria
Description: bacterial SSU rRNA
Rfam family: Bacterial small subunit ribosomal RNA
Source: RNAcentral